Molecule: unclassified non-coding RNA, 1544 nt
Filed under: Hevea brasiliensis (rubber tree)
Lineage: Eukaryota; Viridiplantae; Streptophyta; Magnoliopsida; Malpighiales; Euphorbiaceae
Source: RNAcentral
UUUGUUGGACCCUUCUUGCGUAGACAGGAAAGGGAGAACGCUGCUACCAAUACAAAAUUCAAUAAUGUUUUUGUAAAGAAUCUCUCACAAUCUACUACAGAAGAUGAUCUGAGAGAGACUUUUGGCAAAUUUGGAACAAUAACUAGUGUGGUUGUUAUGAAGGAGGCUGAUGGGAAAUCCAAGUGCUUUGGUUUUGUCAAUUUUGAAAAUCCAGAUGCUGCUGCUCAAGCUGUUCAGGAACUUAAUGGCAAAACCUUUGAUGAAAAGGAGUGGUAUGUAGGGAAAGCCCAAAAGAAAUCUGAAAGAGAGAAUGAAUUAAGAGGCAGGUAUGAACAAAAUGUAAAGGAAACUGUUGACAAGUACCAAGGCCAUAAUUUAUACCUGAAGAACUUGGAUGACAACAUAGGUGACGAAGAACUCAAGGAAUUAUUUUCUGAAUUUGGGACAAUUACAUCUUGUAAGAUUAUGCGGGAUCCAAAUGGAAUAAGUAGAGGAUCUGGAUUUGUAGCCUUCUCAACGGCUGAAGAAGCAUCUCGGGCUCUUGCUGAGAUGAAUACAAAAAUAGUUGGAAGCAAACCGCUGUAUGUUGCCGUUGCACAGCGUAAAGAAGAACGAAGAGCAAGAUUACAGGCGCAAUUUUCUCAAAUGCGUCCAGUUGCAAUGCCUUCUCCUGUUGCGCCUCGUGUGCCAAUGUAUCCUUCCGGUGCUCCGGGAAUUGGUCAGCAGCUAUUUUAUGGCCAAGCACCUCCUGCUAUUAUACCACCCCAGCCUGGAUUUGGCUACCAGCAGCAGCUGGUUCCUGGAAUGAGGCCUGGAGCUGCUCCCAUGCCAAACUUUUUCGUGCCAUUUGUCCAGCAAGGUCAACAAGCCCAAAGGCCAGGUGGUAGGCGCACUGGAGCUGGACCUGUGCAGCAGACUCAGCAUCCUGUCCCCAUGUUUCCUCAACAGAUGGUGCCAAGGGCACGCAUGUACCGCUUCCCACCAGGCCGCAACAUGGCCGAAGGCCCCAUUCCUGGAUAUGCUGGUGGAAUGUCCCCUGUCCCAUAUGACAUGGGUGGCCUGCCCCCUCGUGAUGCUGUCAUGCCACAGCCUGUUCCCAUUGGAGCGCUGUCUUCAUCUCUUGCAAAUGCACCUCCUGAACAGCAGAGGCUGAUGCUCGGAGAAAGUUUGUAUCCACUUGUUGAUCAGCUGGAGCAUGACCAUGCUGCGAAAGUCACUGGAAUGCUGCUGGAGAUGGACCAGACUGAAGUCCUGCAUCUUCUGGAGUCUCCGGAUGCUCUCAGGGCUAAGGUUGGUGAAGCUAUGGAAGUUUUGAGGUCACAUCCGCAGGUUGGUGCUCCGUCCGACCAGCUGGCUUCACUCUCCUUGAAUGAUGGUAUUGCUUCUUAGGUCUAGUCUUUUAGUUUGUUAUGAGUUUGGUUAUGGAGUAGUUCUGAGUUUCUUUGGAUAAGUACUGUUUGGAGUUGGUGCUGAACUAUUUAUGUUGCUGCUGUUUUUCCCCCUUGGUUUGUCUUGUGUUCUGACUGUUAGGAUUUGUCAGACUU